Molecule: ribosomal RNA, 40 nt
Filed under: Hoheria angustifolia
Lineage: Eukaryota; Viridiplantae; Streptophyta; Magnoliopsida; Malvales; Malvaceae
Description: 28S ribosomal RNA
Source: RNAcentral
GACCCUUUGACCCUUAUUGCACCGCAAUGUCGGUGAUCGC